Molecule: long non-coding RNA, 4370 nt
Filed under: Panax ginseng (ginseng)
Lineage: Eukaryota; Viridiplantae; Streptophyta; Magnoliopsida; Apiales; Araliaceae
Description: long non-coding RNA (PGIN_LNC009416)
Source: RNAcentral
UCCAAAUAAAUAUUUAUAUAAUCAAUAAAUAUUUAAAUUACAAUUUAAAAUUUUGGAUCAUUACAUCCUUCCCUCCUUACAAGGAUUCUGUCCCCAGAUCACAAUUCAAACAAUCAAAUCGUCACACCCUACCUUCAUCCGAUGCAUACACCCGGUUUGACAAAUCCCUCUUAUAACAAUGGAUUCUAUACAUAAUUAAGAACAAACAUAUAAGAAUAAAACAAUCAAAGCAGAACAAACAAAUCCCAGAAAUUGGUAGUAGCAACCAAGAAAAUACCUUCUGGGAAUAUCAAAACGUUCAUAAGAAACCUGUAAUCACAAUUUUUCAGUUGGGAUCCCCUAUAUUAUAUAUAUUCCCUACGAAUUAUAUAUACCAAGGAAAUAAUAUUGAAAAGUGUGGUCACAAAUCACAAUACUACAUUUAAAAAACCCUUCCAACAACCAUUCCGCAAUAAUACCCUGCGCACAGAGAUGAUAAAAUUAGAAGGUAGCCAAUUUAUAUGGUGGCACAACCCGGUAAGAGUUUGAAAAAUGACACACGCACACACACACAACUGAAUUAAUGUUAAGAGAUUAACAAAUAAAAAAUUUCACCUUGCAGUCUGUAGCAAAUAAAAAUUACAUCCACUAAGAAUUAGUCGGUAUUAAAGUUCAUACUGAAAAAGCAUACAUAAAAAUAGCUUCUUAGACUAAUAUCUGUCUAUAUAUAGUAUUGGAAGUUUUCUCUCUCUAUAUGUAUGGAUAUCCCAUGGAGGAUAAAAUUAAUAAAUUUAGUACCUCGAUCAGAAAGUCAAAUCAAAUUCUUUCCUUUUGAUGAUUAUAGCCUCUCGUUCUUCAUGUAUUUAAUUUGGUAGAUGCUUCGAUUCCUAGCAAUACCGCACAGAAGAACAUAAAUCUCCCUCUAUAUCUCUCUAUACUAUGAAAAAACAAUAAUAUCAAAAUUUACUUGACAGAUUUAUGAUGAUUCAAUAUUUACUACAGGAACCGAGACAAAGAUCAUAUACUAUAUCAAAAGGCACAAGAAACAUAUAUGACGAAUAACAUGCAGAACUCUAGACAAACAGUACGUACUUAUAUCUUCAAGUAAGAGUAAAAGAGUCGGAAGCUUACCUUCAAACUUGAAAUAAGAGCAAUUAAGUUUUUUUUCCUUUGCCUUCUCCUGUAAAAUAAAUGGCCCCAAUGGAGAAUUCUCCUUUCCUUUUGUAUUUAAGUUAAUUCGUUAUACUGAAUUAAUUCUUGCGAUAACUUGUCCUCCUAGCUCAAACCCUUUUCCUAUUGUGGCAUCUCUCUCUUUAUAUAUCUAUCCUUGCAAUAAUUAAUAAGCGUGUUUCCAUAGAAAAACAUUGAAAUAGUUGAUUUGUUAGAACUAAUAUUGUUAAUACUAACUUAUUUAUAAUUAGAGGUCUAAUUAAGUAGUUUAAGAAAUAGAGAGAACUAUAAUAGUAGUAAUAUGACUAGUUUGUCCUCAUAUCAUAUCAUACUACAAUAAUUCGUAGGAUAUAUAUAUAUAUAUAUAUAUAUAUAUAUAUAUAUAACAUGCUUUGAGUUGAACUAAUUUUUCAGUUUAGCAAACAUCAUGCAUCCAUGAUGCCUAGACAAAGAUCAAUAAAUAUCUUGAGCAAUAAAGGUUAAUUUUUUAUAAAUAAUAAUAAUAAUUUAAUUUUUUUCAAAAAAAAAUUGCUCAACACCUGCAUACUAAUAUAGAGAUAUCUCAAGUUCAAAUAGAGAACCAACAAAAGCAACACUUACAUUUUAGCAGAAGAAUCAUGAUUUGAAUCUUCAUCUGCUCCCUGCAGUCAAGAAGCAAUAUCUCUAAGAAUACAGAAAAUGAAACAAAUAGGAAACAACAAAUAGGAAGCAAUGUAUGCUCAGCCACUAGCUUACCCGCAUGGUUCUAUCAUUGACAAACCCCCACUUUUCUUUCUGAAGAGCUAGUAUUUCUUCAUUGCCAUCAGUAUAUAAUACCUAUUACAGAUACCAAAAAUUGUAUAAAAUUCAUUAGCACUUCAAGACAAAUUAAGAACGCUGCACUUACAUAUCAGUAAUACCCAAAUAACUAUCUAAACCGAAUGGGUACCUUAUGCUUCUUCUUGUGAGGAUCAAAGGAAACAACUUCAAAUACAGAAUUUGCACUCCGACACCCUUCUAAAAUUAGUCCUAGUAGUUUUUUUGAAACAAAAGAAGCCCAUAGAUUGUAUCGAAUUAAGUUACCCCAAAAUCAAAUAUAGAAUUUACACAUUAUUAUCUGGAGAGAUUAAAAUUAAUGCCCUAAAUAAACUUACUCACCACUUCAUAGCAGAUAAAAAAAUAGUGUUCAAAAGAUGUUAAUAGAAAAUAGGGCAGGUCAUUGUUUAAGGACUCAUUCAGAAUACCCUUCAUUGUAUUAAGGUCAAAAGGACAUACCUUUUUAUAAAACCUUACAUGCAUAAAAUUGUGCCUACGUAUCUUACUCAAGAAUUGAAACUUAGUAGGCAAAUAGCACAAUGGACAGAUUUUACUUAAAGUCUAAACAGUUAAUCACUGAGUCAUCAAGAGGAAAGAUAUAGUGAUUAAUCUUUGGGAAAUUUAGCAUACAAGGGUCAAGGUCAAACGCUUCAAGCAAAAUAGUCUGAUCUAACACUAUUUUCCUACCUUACACAUAAGUAGCUAUACUAUGCAAAGUGCCAACAUCUUUUAUAAAUUCCAUAUGAUCAUAAAACUCACUAACUAAAUCCAGAUAAACACACCUACUUGAAAAAGAAAUUAGAUAAACACAACCAAUUUUCUUCAAAUUGACAAGCAAAUCAGGAUGAGAAUGAAAAAUAAUAGUAGGCCCAGUCAUGAAAUUAUACUUCAUUGCAUUAUACUUUAACUGAGCAAAUUCAGUUAGCAUGUUGGGAUCAAUUAAUGGUGUUGACAUUUUGGUUCUUUUAGAAGAAGAAGGGACAGAAAAAAAAGUGGGUUCAUAGGGAAUUAUAGCUGAUAUGGUAGAAGAUAUAAUGGUAGUAUACUAGCAUUUUUAAGCAGAUAGAUAUAUUUAUACACAAGUUCAUAUAGGAGUGGUCAUGUCAAAGUAAGGCUUUACCCAAGCAUGCAUUUCAGAAGAGAAGAGUAGGCAUGACAUAAUCCUUGAUCUGAUUUUUAGAAAUAAUUUUAAACAUUAUUCACAUAGUUCAUACAUAAUGUGUCAAUUAAAUCGAAUUUGAACAAGAAAAAUCAUAAUCAACCAUACAAACAAAUGAUAGUCGAAACAUUAAAUUUUGUCGCAUAUUUAACAUUUUGAACACACAUCUUGUUUCAAACAGAGUUUGGUUCAAAUACUAAAAUGAAAUUUUUAUACCUAGAUUACACAACAAAAGUAUCAAUUCAAAUAAAUACUAAAUAAAAGAUAUUAAAUAAUGAUCAUAACUUAAAACUCAAGAGUGAUAAAUCAAACACAAAUGAACAUAAACAUAUCUAAAAUACAAAACAAAGUCUCAACUAAAUUAGUAAAAUAAAAUUUAUGACACUUAAUUCACAAGAAGCAUAAAUCUAGAAGGUGUUGCUUCUUGCCAAUUUAAAGAUUUGUUUCAAACUAAUGAAUCAAACACUUUGAGCAUACAUUAAAAAGGCUCAUACAUACUCCUUAUAAUCUCAAAAAUGACAGACUAAAAGUUACCAUCCCUUAACCCAGUUAAGAGUAAAGAUCAUCAAAUUACCAGAAGAUGAAACUAUAUUGAUAAAUGACCCACAAAAAUGAGAGAAAAUCAAAAACCUAUAAUUACUGGAAAUCAUGAUUAACAAGGCUAUAUAUUCCAAAUUUCCAAUAGAAAACAGAGGUUGUCCACAACAAAAAAAUAAAAAUAAAGUCCCCAAAUCCAAUCUUCAUUUGUGUACAUACACGCAAUUAUUUUGCGAUGAAAAUCCAAUCACGACAAACAUCAAGAAAUCAGAGCAACUAAGAAAGACACAUAUUUAGUUUAUAAUCACCGAGAAUUGUAUAUAAAAUUAUAAAUUUCUAGAUAAAUAUAAAUAUAAUUAAAUACCUGGUGUGGUCCUUGGAAGAGGUUGUGGUGGAAAAAUUAAGGCGAUGAUGAGCAGAAAUAUCUGCAGUGUUGAGAAUAAUGGAAACAUCAUCAUCCUCCUCGGGAACUAGGGUAGGGGCAAAAAGGUUGGGGCGGUAGGCUCGCCACUCGCGAUUGGGCUGGGGAAGAGUAAUACGCAACUGGGCUGGAGAAGGGGUAGGCCACGAGUCGCGACUGGUUGCGUUAGGGGUGCCUAUUGGCGGUGAGUUGUGAGAGAGAUGAUGGCAGAUUUGGGCGCAACGGCAGUUAGGAGUAGAAGCAAAACUGAAGGGCUCAGGCUGAAGGCUGAAGGCGUACACAACUCCUGAUUAUAAUAGGAACUCGUUU